UGGAGCUUCUGCAGACAUUAAUGUAUACAAUCCAACUGUAGAACCUUCACAGUUUACAACUGCGCAAAUUUGGAUUAAUGGUGGUCCAAAUGAAACCCCUAAUUAUAUAAUGGCUGGAUGGACGGUUAAUCCAGGCUUAUACGGUGAUCACUUUACUCGGUUAUUUACAUUUUGGACGGGUGAUAAUUAUCGGAAUGGGUGCUUCAAUACUCUUUGCAUAGGUUUUGUA
Telopea speciosissima is the source of this 229-nucleotide long non-coding RNA. RefSeq lists it as uncharacterized. NCBI's taxonomy places the organism in Eukaryota, Viridiplantae, Streptophyta, Magnoliopsida, Proteales, Proteaceae. The transcript is spliced from 3 exons. The record is from RefSeq and is a predicted model, not a curated record.